CCUGACCUUUUUUUUUUUUUUUUUUCCAAGCCCAGCAUGGAGCCCAAUGCAGGGCUUGAACUCAUGACCUUGAGAUCAAGACCUGGGCUGAGAUCAAGUGUAGGGACACUUUACCCACUGAGCCACCGUGGAGCCCCUGACUUUUUUUUUUUUUUUAACCUCACAUGUUGAUCUGGUCUUUGGGCUCUAAGGUGUAAAUAGGGGAAUGAAGUAGAGACCAAAAAAAAAAAAAAAAAAACCACAGAAGGAAGCUAGGUGAAUAAAGUCAUUUUAUUGAAGACGUGGCCGGAUUCCACUCAGGGUGGAGGGAGGCCUAAACAGGCGCCCUGUACAGAGGCUGCGGGGCUGCCAGGGCUGCCAGGUGCCUGGUGCUUCAGGCUCGGGGCAGGGUUGGGGGGGACAGCAGCAGGGCCACCGGUGGGGACUCAAGCAGCGCCGGCUUCCCGACUUGUGCUGUUGGGGACUGAGCGGGUCCCUGCUGCUGUCCUUAAUGCUCAAGCCAGACCCCGAGGACAGAGGGACACAGGGUGAAAAUGGUAACUGUAAACACUGUGGUUUCAGUUUCAGUAAAGAGGAGGCGGGAAGGAGGCACAUGGGGACAUAGAAAAAGCAGCUGUGAGGAGAUGUCAUCGCAGAGCUCCAGGAGGGCCAGCUCCCUUGCUAGACAAUGUGGCUGCCGCUGUCAUUUCUAUCCCCCAGCUCAGAAUCUGGAAAGCAAGAAGGUGUCUCAGGCUGGAGAGCCAUGGUGGAUGAUGUCCGGGAGGGGUUCCCCAGCAAGAAGGUUGGCAGGGUCACCACAGAGCCACAAAGAGGCUGGCAUCUCCUGCUGCGACCUGGUGGGCCCUGAUGUUUGGUCUUUUCCCCCCUUUUCACCUGAACCCAGCCUGGACAGCAGGUCACAGCUGUGACUCAGCUCCGCCAACCAGGUGAGUCAGGCCAGGCUGCCGGGGACCAGAGGAGAGUGUGGGCAGGGGGAGGCCUGGAGGCGGGGGCAUCUGCCUCGGGCUGCCCUGGCUUGUCUGGAUUGAUCGCAGCCCCGGCGGGAAGUAGGCAAGGGCUGCACCUGACCAGCGUGCCAGGACGGUCCCUCUGCGCGGGGCUCCCCUCUACCCCGGCGGCAUCCGGGGUGGUCCGGGGCUGGCGGUAGGUAGAGAGAACGUAGACCUACCAUUCCAGGGGAGAUCUGACUGCUCCCACAUUGGGGCGGAUCCUACAGCUUCCCGAAGAGGGAUGGCAGGCGACGAUCAGUGGGACCACCUGCCUCUGAGCGACGCAGGAGGGCAGCAGCGCUGCGCCCGGCACUAGCAGGGAGGGCCCUCGGGUCUCCUCCGCGGUGACUGGUUUUUGUAAGCAGCGCCCCAGGGAUGCUCUUCUCCAGCCCUCCAGAGAGGGGAGCCUUCCCGUGCGGCCGGGACUCGGAGGUCCUCCUCCGCCCCCGUCCCACACCAGACGCCCUGGGGAAGGCUGGGUCCCGGACACAGCAAGGCGACAGCGGCCCGCGCUGGGCACUAGGGGUCGC
RNAcentral lists this long non-coding RNA (1519 nucleotides) under Mustela putorius furo (domestic ferret). RNAcentral's name for it is "lncRNA (ENSMPUG00000030802.1)". The record is from RNAcentral. Lineage: Eukaryota; Metazoa; Chordata; Mammalia; Carnivora; Mustelidae.